Musa acuminata AAA Group (dessert banana) is the source of this 1813-nucleotide long non-coding RNA. RefSeq lists it as uncharacterized. Lineage: Eukaryota; Viridiplantae; Streptophyta; Magnoliopsida; Zingiberales; Musaceae. The record is from RefSeq and is a predicted model, not a curated record. The transcript has 3 exons.
AGCUCGAUACAUUGGUACGGUACGAAAUUUCAAUCCUUAGUUUUAAUCACUAUCACAAGCAUGUCUUCUAUGUGUUGUCAAAUGACUAACAGUACAAUUGUAUGUUCCAUUACAUGAUUAAAAUCAUUUGCAACUGAUAUAAAAUAUUUUCAGCAAGAUACCCCUAGUCCUUUUUCUAUGACCAGUAAUACAACACAGAAACUCUUUUCCCCCGUAAUCAACACUAGCAGAUUGCUAGUGACUGGGGAUAAAAUAAGCAAUAUAUAUCUUUGAUUAGAUAAAUAGCUCAGUUCGUAUAUGAUUUAUCAAGUCUCUUUUCUUAUUGCACUUGGUCUUGUUUCUAUUUACUAGGGGCUCUCUAGAUAAACUACUGUGGUAUUUGUGGACCGAUCAUAUAUUGGAAAAAUAGAAGUUUUCUGUUGAUCAAAUUAUUGCACCUGAUAGAUCCUGUCAAAUAUAUGCAUAGGGAGAUCAUGGGGAGUGUAAUUUGUGAGGAUGUUGGGUUUUGUUUCUCUUCGCUAUUUUUGUUUGAAAUAUUGGAAGUUACUCAGAUUUGACUCUGUUUCAUGCUUCUUUGUAAUCUGUGUAUGGUUUUGUAAAUUUGUGGUUGCUGAAGCUCUAUGCAGAGAGAUGAGGGGUUUGGAGUUAAACCCUAGGAUUAUAUCCAGUUUGUAGGUAGUUUCCAUUAAUCCUAAUUUCUCAGUUUGGUAGUGGCUUUGAAUCAGGUUUGAGCUCAUGUAAGAUGAUCACUGUGCCUUGAAAUGCUUGGAAAUCAUGUGAGCUCAUGCUGUGGAAUGUCGAGUGCAGGAGAUGAUGGGACAUGCUUCCGCUGAUGGCAAGGAAUUGCUGAUGAGCUUAUCAGGCCUCGGAGCUCAAAGUUCAUUGUCGCAGGUAGUGGUUGAGUGGAGGAUCUCAACAAUGUCUGGUGAUAUGCAUCCAGGGAACUUUCCUGAGAGCAAUCUUUUCUUUUGAUUCAGUGAGUGCUGAUGAAGUUGUCAUUCUCCCAAUUUUUGCUGAUGAUUCGCCUUUUAUUCCAGGUACCAGAUCAUUCAAUUUAGGAGUGGGUGCAAAGCCACUCGAGCAGACAAACAUUUGAGGAGAAAUGAGAUCGACUUCUGCUUGAUCAUAUCACAAUUAUCCGAGAACAAAUCUUCUUGAGGAGAAAUGAGAUUGACUUCUGCUUGAUCAUAUCACAAUUAUCUGAGAACAAGUGUUUCACCCUGCUUAAGAUGAUCUUCAUAUUCAGUGACAAUUCAGCCUUUUCCCACUUAGUCUGAAUCAUCCAAGCCAGAAGGGUGAUUAAGGAAUCCGAUGUCGUGUUUAGUCCUCGAUGCCAAUAACUUAAAUAGCUCCUGCAGCUUGAUCACCUCUUCAGGUGUGAAGCCCAUCAGAUUUUGCAAGGAACAAAUGUUCUUUGAUGAAUCACUACUCUGUUCACCUUCCUUCGGUUCGUCGUUACUGUUUGUCCCGAUUGCAAGUAAUAUUUGAAGUGAGUCACUGUUUUCUUUGUGAAGUUUAGGAGAACUGGUAUCUGAAGGAGGACAAAAGAAUAAAUAAAUAAUCGACACAUAUUAAUUAGAUUAGAAACAAAAAGGAGAGGAAAAAAGGGUUUGGACUGUGUCAAGUUAUCAAACGAUUCACACUAUAAAUUAGUAGAGUCUAUACAAGUCCAUGGUCCUUUGAAAUGUGAGUUUCAUCUAGUUCUAUGAUUUGCAUUCCAUGGCUGGGAGGACUACAAUUGCAUUUCAUAUUCAUUGUACCUUGGAAGUUUCCAUGUGAGUUAUGUCUGGUUCUAUGAUUUGCAUUCCAUGGC